GGGAAAGCCGGUGCGAAUCCGGCGCUGACCCCGCAGCCGUGAGACCGGCGCCGCCAUCGGCCGCCCGGACGAGUCGGAGCACCC
Molecule: non-coding RNA, 84 nt
Filed under: Streptomyces sp.
Lineage: Bacteria; Bacillati; Actinomycetota; Actinomycetes; Kitasatosporales; Streptomycetaceae
Source: RNAcentral